ACAGAGGCCUCGAGCGUUAGGCGGAAUCACUGGGCUUAAAGCGUGUGUAGGUGGAUUCUUAAGUGCCUUGUGAAAUCCCACGGCUUAACCGUGGAACUGCUGGGCAUACUGGGAAUCUUGAGCCAUCUAGGGGCAACUGGAACAGACGGUGGAGCGGUGAAAUGCGUAGAUAUCGUCUGGAACGCCAAUGGUGAAGACAGGUUGCUGGGGAUGUGCUGACACUGAGACACGAAAGCCAGGGGAGCAAACGGGAUUAGAUACCCCGGUAGUCCUGGCCCUAAACGAUGUCCACUAGAUCGCAGCACUUUUGACGGUGUUGUGGUCGAAGUAAAAAUGUUAAGUGGACCGCCUGGGAAGUACGGUCGCAAGGCUA
This 373-nucleotide ribosomal RNA is filed under the name uncultured bacterium. RNAcentral's name for it is "bacterial SSU rRNA". It matches the Rfam family "Bacterial small subunit ribosomal RNA", at positions 525 to 896 of the family's 1533-position model. The record is from RNAcentral.